This 410-nucleotide ribosomal RNA is filed under the name Bacteroidales bacterium. RNAcentral's name for it is "bacterial SSU rRNA". It matches the Rfam family "Bacterial small subunit ribosomal RNA", at positions 1 to 402 of the family's 1533-position model. The record is from RNAcentral. Lineage: Bacteria; Pseudomonadati; Bacteroidota; Bacteroidia; Bacteroidales.
UUAUACUAAGGAGAGUUUGAUCCUGGCUCAGGAUGAACGCUGGCGGCAGGCUUAAUACAUGCAAGUUGAACGGUAACAUUUUGUAGCAAUACAGAGAUGACGAGUAGCGUACGGGUGCGUAACACGUGUGCAACCUACCUUAUACAGGAACAAAACGUUGAGAAAUUAGCGCUAAUAUUCCAUAAUAUUAUUGAUAGGCAUCUAUUUAUAAUUAAAGCUCAGGUGGUAUAAGAUGGGCACGCGUUCCAUUAGCUAGUUGGUAAGGUAACGGCUUACCAAGGCAACGAUGGAUAGGGGUUCUGAGAGGAUACACCCCCACACUGGAACUGAGACACGGUCCAGACUCCUACGGGAGGCAGCAGUAAGGAAUAUUGGGCAAUGGAGGCAACUCUGACCCAGCCAUGCCGCGU